CGGCGCAAGUGUCGAGUGAAAUCCCAUCGCUCAACGAUGGAACGGCUCGGCAAACUGCGUCGCUUGAGGUCGGUAGAGGUGCUCGGAACUCUAGGUGGAGCGGUGAAAUGCGUAGAUAUCUAGAGGAACGCCUGAGGCGAAAGCUGGGCACUGGGCCGAUUCUGACGCUGAGACGCGAAAGCGUGGGGAGCAAACAGGAUUAGAUACCCUGGUAGUCCACGCCGUAAACGAUGCGCUCUAGGUGACGGAGCCUCUCACGGCGCCGCCGCCGAAGCAAAAGUGAUUAGUGCGCCGCCUGGGGAGUACGGCCGCAAGGCUAAAACUCAAAGGAAUUGACGGGGGCUCACACAAGCGGUGGAGCAUGUGGCUUAAUUCGAAGCAACGCGAAGAACCUUACCUGGGCUUGACAUGCUUGGAUGCUUUAUGGGGAUAACUCAUAAAGUUGCUCUUCGGAGUGAAACUUGCACAGGUGUUGCACGGCUGUCGUCAGCUCGUGCUGUGAAGUGUCGGGUUAAGUCCCUUAACGAGCGAAACC
RNAcentral lists this ribosomal RNA (535 nucleotides) under uncultured bacterium. RNAcentral describes it as "bacterial SSU rRNA". It matches the Rfam family "Bacterial small subunit ribosomal RNA", at positions 579 to 1103 of the family's 1533-position model. The record is from RNAcentral.